RNAcentral lists this ribosomal RNA (497 nucleotides) under uncultured bacterium. RNAcentral describes it as "partial 16S ribosomal RNA". It matches the Rfam family "Bacterial small subunit ribosomal RNA", at positions 28 to 507 of the family's 1533-position model. The record is from RNAcentral.
GACGAACGCUGGCGGGGUGCCUAAUACAUGCAAGUUGAGCGCUGAAGGUUGGUACUUGUACCAACUGGAUGAGCAGCGAACGGGUGAGUAACGCGUGGGGAAUCUGCCUUUGAGCGGGGGACAACAUUUGGAAACGAAUGCUAAUACCGCAUAAAAACUUUAAACACAAGUUUUAAGUUUGAAAGAUGCAAUUGCAUCACUCAAAGAUGAUCCCGCGUUGUAUUAGCUAGUUGGUGAGGUAAAGGCUCACCAAGGCGAUGAUACAUAGCCGACCUGAGAGGGUGAUCGGCCACAUUGGGACUGAGACACGGCCCAAACUCCUACGGGAGGCAGCAGUAGGGAAUCUUCGGCAAUGGACGAAAGUCUGACCGAGCAACGCCGCGUGAGUGAAGAAGGUUUUCGGAUCGUAAAACUCUGUUGGUAGAGAAGAACGUUGGUGAGAGUGGAAAGCUCAUCAAGUGACGGUAACUAUCCAGAAAGGGACGGCUAACUACGUG